Molecule: long non-coding RNA, 405 nt
Organism: Oncorhynchus tshawytscha (Chinook salmon)
Lineage: Eukaryota; Metazoa; Chordata; Actinopteri; Salmoniformes; Salmonidae
Source: Ensembl
GUCUACAAUUGUUUUUCUGAGGUCUUGGCAGAUUGUUUUUGAUUUUCCCAUGAUGUCAAGCGAAGAGGCACUGAGUUUGAAGGUGCAAACAGCCACUGUUGCUGUCACCUGUUGAGGAGGAAGUUUGGGCUGACUAUCACACUAUAUAAAAAAGGUCACAAAGAUCCUCUUCCCCGCCUGCAUUCUGAAGGUGAGAUUUUGAACAGUUCCCACUGACUGAUUGUCAAAGUACCAGGCUGAUUCCAGCUGACACUAAGAACAGAAUAUGGAACACUACUCAUCACCCAAAGCAUAUAAUUCACAAGAUCAUCCAGUCAUAUUGUCAUUACAGUAUGUGAUAUGAUAUUUGCAGAAUAUUUGGUACAGUAGUUAAAUCUAUGAAAUGCAUGUUUCCCCACAAAUAGA